This 12865-nucleotide long non-coding RNA is filed under the name Solanum tuberosum (potato). RNAcentral's name for it is "long non-coding RNA (STUB_LNC009493)". Lineage: Eukaryota; Viridiplantae; Streptophyta; Magnoliopsida; Solanales; Solanaceae. The record is from RNAcentral.
AAUAUUGUUUGGCCGUAUUAGAUUAUGUUGCUGAGGGUGAAGUUAAUGAAGAAAAUGACAUCUUUAGUAAACCUCCUUAUCUAUUAUCAUUGAUUGUGUUUGUGGAGCUGGAAAUGAAGAAAUUACCAAAAGUAUUUUCACAUCAUCUCCACAAUCUGCUGAUGUAUCUCAGAAACAAAAAGCUCGAGAACUUUCCUAAUAAUAACUCUGCUCAAAAUAUUGAUGUGGCAAUAGAGUUCUUGUUGGUUUUCCUUGAUGCUGAUGUGUCAAAUCAUGUUACUAAUGGUAACUGGUUGAAUGAGAUCUUGUUAAAGGUUGGAGCUAGAGCGGGUGAUAUUCUAUAUGUAAUUCAAAAGCUUCUUCCUAGAUCUAUAAACAAAGAUGACACUAGCAAAAUAAGUCUUUGCUCAAUACAGAUAUUGGAGAAGACUAAAGAUCUGAAGGAACAAGUUGAGAUGUACUACAAAUCCUUGAAAUUUACUCCAUCUUAGUUCCCCACCUUUGGUGGAUUGAGCUUUUUGGAUUCUCUUUUAAGGAAACUGAAUGAGAUGUCGAAAUCUAAGUCUGGUUUAGAUUUCCUGAUGAAACCACUUUUAGGGGAUUUGGAGAAAGAGCUAUCAUCUCUUACAUCCAUUUUAGAGAAGGAGCUAUCAUCCAUUUUCAGAGAUGUCGUGCACCAUGAACAUAAAAUUCCUAAAAGAUCUUCAGAGACGUACCAUCAAUUUGGCAUAUGAGGCUGAGGUUGCCAUUGACUCUAUUCUUGCUCAGUAUAAUGCUUUUUUGCAUAGUUUUUGCUCACUUCCUACAAUUUUAAAAGAGAUCAUGCAAAUUAAUGCAGAGGUGACUGAGAUGUGGUCAACGGACAUUCCUCUUAAUCCUCACUACGUGGCUGCUCCAUUUAAACAUCUACCAGCUCAACAUAGCAAUCCUGUGACUGAUGAGGAGGUAGUGGGUUUUGAGAAUAAAGCAGAAGAACUAAUUGAUUAUCUGAUUAGAGGUACAAAUGAGCUAGACGUCGUCCCAAUUGUAGGCAUGGGGGGACAAGGGAAAACGACAAUUGCUAGAAAGUUGUACAAUAAUGACAUCAUUGUUUCUCACUUUGAUGUUCGAGCAUGGUGCAUCAUUUCUCAAACAUAUAGCCGAAGAGAGCUAUUACAAGAGAUUUUCAGUCAAGUUAUGGGCUCCAAGGACAAGGAAGAUGCGGUAGGCGAACUUGCUGACAGGUUGAGGAAAAGCCUAAUGGGAAAGAGAUAUCUCAUUGUAUUGGAUGAUAUGUGGGAUUGUAUGGCAUGGGAUGACUUAAGGCUUUCUUUUCCAGAUGUUGGAAUGAGAAGCAGAAUAGUCGUAACAACUCGACAGUGGGUAAGCAAGUCAAGUACCAUACUGAUCCUUAUUCUCUUCCAUUCCUCACAACAGAAGAGAGUUGCCAAUUGUUGCAGAAAAAAGUGUUUCAAAAGGAAGAUUGCCCGCCUGAACUACAAUAUGUGAGUCAAGCAGUUGCAGAAAAAUGCAAAGGACUCCCCCUAGUGGUUGUCUUGGUAGCUGGAAUAAUCAAAAAAAGGAAAAUGGAAGAAUCUUGGUGGAAUGAGGUGAAAUAUGCUUUAUUUGACUAUCUUGAUAGUGAGUGCGAAGAAUAUAGUCUGGCGACUAUGCAGUUGAGUUUUGAUAACUUACCCGAUUGUUUAAAGCCUUGUCUUCUUUAUAUGGGGAUGUUUUCGGAGGACGCAAGAAUUCCAGCAUCUAAAUUGAUAAGUUUAUGGAUUGCUGAAGGAUUCGUGGAGAACACUGAAUCUGGGAGAUUAAUGGAAGAGGAAGCUGAAGGUUACUUGAUGGAUCUCAUUAGCAGUAACGUGGUAAUUGUUUCAAAGAAAGGUUAUAAUGGUAAAGUCAAAUGCUGCCAGGUUCAUGAUGUUGUGCAUCACUUUUGCUUGGAGAAGAGUAGAGAAGAAAAGUUUAUGCUUGCAGUGAAGGGUCAAUAUAUCCAGUUUCAACCCUUGGAUUGGAAGGGAAGUUGAGUAAGCUUCAGUUUCAGUGAAGAGCUUUCCAAGUUUGCAUCUCUGGUUUCCAAAACACAGAAGCCUUUCCACCAACACUUGAGGUCUCUGAUAAUGAUAAAUAAUGUAGUAUCUUUUGAUAUGAUUCCCUUCUGUUGGAUUAGUGAAAUGCGACUUCUUAAAGUCUUGGAUUUGAGUUCUUACAGUGUGCUGUUUUUGUCGUUAGCUGCAUUCAAACCACUAAAUCAGCUGAAGUACCUCGCAGUUUGGGCAGGUGAAUUCUAUUUUGAUCCAGGAUCACAUCUGCCCCAUAUAGAAACUUUAAUUUUGAAGAAUUUUCCUAUUGUACGGUUACCAGUGUCUUUUUUGUAGAUGGAAAAAUCAAGGCAUGUUGAGAUUAGGGAAGCUGAAUUUGAUAAGCAGGGAUUCUUUGAAGGAUCCUCUAAAUUGGAAAAUUUGAGGAUAUUAAAGAAAAUUGUUGGAUUUCCAAUUGAUAGGUUGGAUGUGUUAUCAAGGAGCUGUCCUAAUCUUCAACAACUUCAUAUCAAAUUUGAGGAUGAUGAAGAGCCUUUUUGUCCCAAAUUGGAGAAUCUUACCCAGCUUCAAGAGCUUCAACUUUCCUUUGUGCAUCCCCGCAUUCUAUCCGGGUUACAGUUGCCUUCAAAUUUAAAACAAGUUGGUACUUGAAGGAAUUCAUAUAGAAAGUGCUAUUUCCUUCAUUGCGGAACUACCAAGCCUGGAGUAUCUCCAAUUACAAGAUGUGUGUUUUCCUCAAUCAGAAGAGUGGUGCCUGGGAGAUAUCACGUUCCAUAAACUUAAGUUGUUGAAACUGGUGCAGUUAGGUAUCUCAAGGUGGGAUGCCUCGGAGGAAUCAUUUCCCCUGCUUGAAACACUUGUUAUAAAAAUGUGUGGCGACCUAGAGGAGAUACCCCUUAGCUUUGCAUAUAUUCCAACGCUGAAACAGAUUAAAUUGAUUGGGUCCUGGAAAGAAUCUCUGGAGGAUUCAGCUGUGAGAAUGAAGGGAGAAAUCGAAGAGAUUGAAGGAUGUGAUCGUAUACACCUCGUCAAAGAACAGUCAGAUUGGUGAGGGUUUUAAUAGCUAAUUGUUGCAGCCAUGCUCAUACAGAAGUAUAGCCCAUUUUCUUUUAUUGUAACAUUACUACUAUUUGCUAUGUUUGUUUUUAUUGAUAAACUCUUUUUAUGUAUGAUUGGAGACAAAUAUAUAUCUGUUGGUCUUUCACUGAUUUCUUGUUUUUAUGCAGCUUUAUACUUUUGACCAAUUUCUCUCCACUUACAUCAGAUCAACCAUGUUGUUGUUGUUGAGUACUUCUUGAUUUUCUAUUUUGCUGAACUAUCCAGAAAAGCUUAAGGUUAAACUGCUUCUUGUUGCUUGAGGUGCAAUGAAUUUCAAAGUUUGGACAAAUCCUUUUUUGUGUCCUUUGAUAUAAAGCCAUCAAGAAAAUCCUUCUUAGAACAGAAUUCUCUUGUAUGAGUAGUUGGUUCGUGGUUGAACUAACACGCACAAUCAUUUCGCUCCUGAGUUGUCCGCUUGGGACCAGAGAACUGGUGUUAACACACCAAUUCUAAUCCACCUAACAUAGACCAAAAUCAAAACUCUCUAUUAGGUGCAGCUUUUUGAAGUGCGAUUUCUGAUACUUUUUACAUCGUUCUAGUGUUAGAAAUUUCCACUGAACUUCAAACUGAUCUAAUUGUAUAGACGAGAGGGAGUUGCUCGGAUGGUAAGCACCCCUCACUUCCAACCCGAAGGUUGUGAGUUCGAGUCACCAAGGGAGCAAAAGGGGUGGGAGCUCCUAGGGAGGGUUAAAAAAAAAAAAUAAAAAAAAAAAAUCUAAUUGUAUAAUCCUCUUCUGUAAAUUGAGUGACUUUCUUUUGGGGUAUGGUGAAAGUUUAAGUAGCCAACCAAUUGAGCUAGUACAUGCUUUGUUGGAUAAUUUAAAAUAUUUGUACUAAUUAGUAUGGAACACGCGUGUUUGAUGACUAGUUAUUGAUACAAGCACAUAUAAAUUAUGCUUGAUUUACCAUUUCCUAUAGAAAGAAUGAAUACAUAAAAUGAAAAUUAUCGUAAGGUCUACGAUGUACGUAAUUUGAAUAGGUCAAUAGGAAUGAAACUCAGGAAGUUGUGGUACAAUUACCACAAUUAAUUAAUUAAGCAAUAAUUGUUGUUUAGUCUUCAUCCUACCAUUAUUAAUAUUUCAGAGCUCAUAUUAUCAGUCAAUAAGCCAAUAGGAAAGAAACGAUAACAAGUAUAUAAGUUAUAAUAAAGCAAUAAUUGUUCGCAGUGGCGAAUUUAGGUGCAAAAAAUAGGGCACCCGAACCCGUGGUCUCUUCGUAAAAUUAGAUAUUUUAUGUAUAUAUUUUCUAACAUUUGUAUAAUAUUAUAUUCUUGCACCCGUACUAUAAAAAUUUUAGUUGAUCCACAUGGUUAAAUGUUGAGCUUUUGACUUUGAGGACUAAAGAUCAAUUCCCACUUAAUACAUUUUUCUUGGUGCACCCAUGUUCGGAUCAUCCUAGAUUCGCCUCUGAUUGUUGGUUACCUAGUAUUAGAUAAAUUAUUUAUGCAAAAAGUCAGAGCUCAUACAUACACUCUGAUUGUGCCUUUUUAAACUUGAAUUAUUCUUUGAUCUUAUCAGCUAUCUCUCUACAAGACAACACCUUGUGGCUGCAGGCAAAUUGAAUUCAUGGUCAUUGAGGUGAGUUUUUUUUAACGUACCUCCUACGAUUUUUAGAAAAUUUUCAAGAAAUUAUUUAUCCACAGUAAUUGUUUAUAUCAAGCCAUGAAAAUUUAUGAUAGUUAAGUGGUUUAAUGCGGUGAGAUUGCAUGUUAAUUACCGAAUUUGGUGGCUUAAAGGAAAGAGAGCUGAGUAACUUCGCCCACCAAGGCUUAAACAAAUAGGAAAGGAAUCACCUACUUCUAUCAUUUUUUCUCCGCUGGUGUGAACCUGAGACUUCGUGGUUCUCCAUCCAUUUUAUUGGGCUACAAGGUCACACUGUUGGAUGCAACGUUAUAUCUGAAAAUUCGUGGGCAUAUAUUGUUGAUCUGAUCAUUUCUAUGACUUCUGUUUUUAUCUUACUCUUGAAUCUUUAGAACUUUUCUUCGGUGGAACUUAAAUGUAAUUUUACUUAUAGUUAUCAUUUCCUUUGUUUCUUUCUAGAAUUGAAUACGAAAUUGGAGAUAUAAAAAAGGAGAUAGGAGACAAAAGUACGCGCUUGAGUGAUUGUAAGACUUGAGCUGAACUUGUGUUAGGUACUUUCCUUCUUUUGCAAAUCGUUAAGUUGGUUUCAAUUAUUAGCUGAAGUGAAAAAAUGUACUGAACUUGCGGGAAUUUUCUACUAUAUUUUCAGGAAAAUGGCUCAAAUUAAUGACAUUGACGAUGUGUUAUAUCACCUAAGAAGGAUCAAGAGUCAAGGUGAUCAGAGUAGCAUCAAGAUUGAUCAGAUUGAGAAACUUGAAAUGGAGCUAAGAAUGUUUAGAACCUUUAUAAAGUAUUAUCAUAUUCUUUUGCAUGAUUUCUUUGUCAAACCCACAAAGAUCGCCAAAUUGAUCGUGAAAAUGCUUCACCGGGUAUUUGAUGGAAUUCCAUAUGAAUGUAAAACUAACCUUGAUCAGGAAAGACUGGUAGCACAGUUAUUGAAUUUCAUAGAUGAAGGUAAUUCCAGUUUGAGGUACAAUUAUGAGUUCAUGAAUGAUUCUUAUCUAUCAGAUUAUAUGGAUUGCCUCGGAAAGAAUCUAAAUGAUGUACUGAUAAUGUGCCUGAAAUUGGAUAGGUCUGAUCCUUCUUGGACGAAUGAAAAAAUCCUUCACUAUAAUCGAUUUAUAAAGCAACUGAAAAUUGUUCAAAAGAAAAUGAGAUUUUUGAGAUACUUAUAUGCCACAGAGAUAAAUGGUUACAUCGACCAUGAGAAGCUGGAAUGUUUGGAGACUCGAAUUCAGUUCAUGGCUAAUAAUGUGGGACAGUUUUGUCAUGCUUUUUCGAUUAAUGUAUCUGAGUUUGAAGAUGAUACAGAUGAGGAUGAGGAUGAGGAUGACAAGGAUGAGCAAGAAUACAUGAAUAAACCUCCAUAUCUGUUAUGUCUAAUUGAGCUAGUGGAGAAUAGUCAUUGCACUAGUAGCGUCUACGAGCCUCCCGCUUCGGUACCAUCUCCUUUUUUACCAGCCGAGCUGCCCUGAAAUGAAGAAGAUUUUUCUUGGUGAGCUAAAGGCUUCAAAGUUCACUCAGUUAGAAACUUUCAAGAACAAGAAAUUACCAAAAGGAUUUUCACAUCAUCUCCGUAGUCUGCUGGUGUAUCUAAAAAACAAAAAGCUCCCAAUCUUUCCUACUAAUGUCUCAACCCAAAAUAUUGAUGUGGCAAUAGAUUUCUUGUUUGUGUUUCUUGAUGAUGAUGGGUCAAAUCAUGCUAUUAAUAGUAAGAUGAUGAAUGAGGUCUUCGAAAAGGUUGUAACCAUAGUGGGUGAUGUUCUAUAUGUAAUUCAAAAGCUUCUUCCUAGAUCUGUAAACAUAGAUGACAUGACUAGCAAAACAAAUAUUUGCUCGAUACAGAUAUUGGAGAAAAUUAAAGAUCUGAAGGCACCAAUGGAGACGUACUACAAAUCCUUAAAGUUCAGUACUCCAUCUCAGUUUCCCACUAUUGGUGGAUUGAGUUUUCUGGCUUCUCUUUUAAGGAAACUGAAUGAGAUGUCGAAAUCUAAAUCAGGUUUAGAUUUCCUGAUGAAGCCUCUUUUUGGUAACUUGGAGAAAGAGCUAUCAGCCCUGACAUCCAUUUUAGAGAAGGAGUUGUCAUUUUUAUCAUCCAUUUUCAGAGAUAUCGCAAAGGUGCACCAUGAACAUGAAAUUCUGAAAGCUCUUCACAGGCAUACUAUCAAUUUGGCAUAUGAAGCUGAAGUUUCCAUUGACUCUAUUCUUGCUCAAUAUAAUGUUUUUUGGCAUAUUUUCUGCUCACUUCCUGCAAUCUUGAAAGAGAUUAAGCAAAUCAGUUCGCAGGUGACUAAGAUGUGGUCAGCAGACGUUGCUCUUAAGCCUUGCUAUGUGGUAGCGCCAUCUAAACACCUGCCAACUCAACAUAGCAAUCCAGAGACUGAUGAGGAGAUAGUAGGUUUUGGGAAAGACACAGAAAAAAUGCUUCAGUAUCUGAUUAGAGGUACAAAUGAGCUAGACGUCGUCCCAAUUGUAGGCAUGGGGGACAAGGGAAAACCACAAUUGCUAGAAAGUUGUACAAUAAUGACAUCAUUGUUUCUCGCUUUGAUGUUCGAGCAUGGUGCAUCAUUUCUCAAACAUAUAGCCGAAGAGAGCUAUUAAAAGAGAUUUUCAGUCAAGUUACGGGCUCCAAGGACAAGGAAGAUGAGGUAGGCGAACUUGCUGACAGGUUUAGGAAAAGCCCAAUGGGAAAGAGAUAUCUCAUUGUAUUGGAUGAUAUGUGGGAUUGUAUGGCAUGGGAUGACUUAAGGCUUUUCUUUUUCCAGAUGUUGGAAUGAGAAGCAGAAUAGUCGUAACAACUCGACUUGAAGAAGUGGGUAAGCAAGUCAAGUACCAUACUGAUCCUUAUUCUCUUCCAUUCCUCACAACAGAAGAGAGUUGCCAAUUGUUGCAGAAAAAAGUGUUUCAAAAGGAAGAUUGCCCGCCUGAACUACAAUAUGUGAGUCAAGCAGUUGCAGAAAAAUGCAAAGGACUGCCCCUAGUGAUUGUCUUGGUAGCUGGAAUAAUCAAAAAAGGAAAAUGGAAGAAUCUUGGUGGAAUGAGGUGAAAGAUGCUUUAUUUGACUAUCUUGAUCAUGAGUCGGAAGAAUAUAGUCGGGUGACUAUGCAGUUGAGUUUUGAUAACUUACCCGAUUGUUUAAAGCCUUGCCUUCUUUAUAUAGGGAUGUUUCCGGAGGACGCAAGAAUCCCUGUGUCUAAAUUGAUAAGUCUAUGGAUUGCGGAAGGAUUUGUGCAGAACAUUGAAUCAGGGAGAUUGAUGGAAGAGGCAGCUGAAGGUUUCUUGAUGGAUCUCAUCCACAGUAACGUAGUAAUGGUUUCAAAGAGAGAAUAUAACGGGAAAGUCAAAUACUGCCACGUUCAUGAUGUAGUGCUUCACUUUUGCUUGGAGAAGAGUAGAGAAGAAAAGUUUAUGUUGGUUAUGAAGGGAAAUUGUAGCAAAUUUCAACCUUUUGAUUGGAAGGAAAGUCGAAUGAGGUUCAUUUUGACUGAAAAGCUUUCAAAGUUUGCAUCUCUGGAAUCCAAAACACGGAAGUCUUUCCACCAACACUUGAGGUCACUGAUAAUGACAAAUGGAUUACUAUAUUUUAAUUGGAUUGUCUUCCCUCAGGUUAGAGAAAUGAGACUUCUUAAGGUCUUGGAUUUGACUUCCUUUGAUGUCAAAUACUUGUCGUCAGCUACAUUGAAACCACUGAUUCACCUGAAAUACCUUGGAGUUAGCGCAUGUGAAUUUUAUUUUCAUCCUGAACCACAUCUUUCCCAUCUUGAAACUUUAAUUGUGAAGGAUUUAUUAUUCAGGUAUACAGAGUUACCAGAUAUUUUUUGGAAAAUGGAACAAUUAAGGCAUGUUGAUAUUAAUAAAGCUGAAUUUUAUUUGGAAGAGGGGAUGAUUGAAGAAUCCUGUAAAUUGAAUAAUUUGAGGAUAUUAAGGCGAGUUCGAAUUUACAAUGCUGCUAGUGAGGAUGUGUUAAUACAGAGUUGUCCUAAUCUUCAACAACUGUACAUCACAUUUGAGGAGAGUGUACCUGGAGAGCCUUUCUGUUUCACAUUGGAGAGUCUUAUCCAGCUUCAAAUACUUAGCCUUUCCUGUGAUUGUUGUCUCUCAGGUUUACAGUUGCCUUCGAAUUUAAAAAAGUUGGUACUAAGAGGGAGUAAUAUAGAAAGUGCAAUUCCCGUCAUUGCAGGACUACCAAGCCUGGAGUAUCUCCAAUUAUGGAACUCAGAUUAUUUUCAAUCAGAAGAGUGGAGCCUCGGAGAUAUCACAUUCCAUAAACUUAAGUUGUUGAAAAUGGUGUUCUUACGUAUCUCAAGGUGGGAUGCCUCAGAUGAAUCAUUUCCCCUGCUUGAAACACUUGUUAUGAAAAAGUGCACUGAGCUAGAGGAGAUCCCCCUUAGCUUUGCCGAUAUUCCAUCAUUGAAACAGAUUAAGUUGAUUGGAUCCUGCAAAGAAUCUCUGGUGGCUUCAGCUAUGAAAAUUAAGGAAGAAGUCGAAGCUAUUGAAGGAUGUGACCGUCUUAACCUCUUCAAAGAACAGUCAGAUUGGGGAGAAUUUUGAUAGCUAAUUGUUGCAGCCAUGCUCAUCCUCUUAUAUUGUAACACUAGUACUGAUUGUUAAGUUUGUUUUGAUUGAUCAACUCUUUUUAUGAUUGGAGAUAAAUAUAUAUCAGAUGGUCUUUCACAACCUGUCAAAUCAUUGUUCCAUUUCUAUAAUCUUUCACCAGGUAAUGGGCAUGAUCUUGGUCAUUUCUAGUUAUCUUUAGCAAAAACAGUUAUCUCUUUCGAAAUGACAUUUUUGGCUACGAUUCUUGCAAUAUAUUAGCUACUAAAAAAAAAUUUCUCUUGUAUGGGUAGUUGGUUCGUGGUUCAACUAACAUGCACAAUCAUUUCACUCCCAAGUUGUUAACUUCGGACCAAAGAAUCGGCAUUAAGACACCAACUCUAGCCUACCUAAAAUAGACCGAAAUCAAAACUCAUUAUUAAGUACAUCUUUUUGAAGUGCAAUUUCUGAUAUUUUUUACAUGAUCUAAGUGUCUAGUGCAGUUCUUUUUUUGUUGCUUUUUUAAAAAAAUAAAAAAUAGGAGACUUCCUGAUGUUUGAGAUUAAACUUUUUUCAUUAUUUUCAUCAAAGUUAUUAAGAAAAUUAUUAAAUACUUGCGGAGAUUAAAAUCUUAACUUUUGGCAAACUUAUAAGACUCAAAUUAUUCAAUGCAUACUUAAAAGGACUAUUUUGAAUCUUUCUCAAACACAAGGGAUCAUUUUUGUCGCUUAAAAAAUAUUGUGUAUUUCAGUUCUCCCCUUGCAAUGUUCUACCCUGGAAAAUUGUAGAAGAAGAGUGUUGAGAGAAUUCAUCAGAGAAAUCCAAUGUGGGAGUGUUUCACUCCUCAAUGUGGGACUUUAUUACGUCACGAAUUCAAAUUGGAUCGGGCUCCAACGUGGAUACCGAACACUGGAUGGGAAACAAAACAAUAUAUGUAGUACGACAUGAAAUGAAUAAAUAAGGGGAUUUGGCCCUUAAGAAACAAAAAAAUCAAUGUUUUGUAUUGUGAUUGGGCCUGUCCUGAGAACAGACUCCAUUCACAAAAUAUAUGGAAGAAUUAUCACCACUCCUUUUUUAUCCUUGUUUGAUUUAUGACAUAUGAUUUAUCCUUUUUUCAAUUAUGUUUUUUUCAAAAAAUAUAAAAACUUAUUCAAGUUUAUAUUUUGUAAAAAAAACAAAUCAUUAUUUUCAGUUUUACAAAAAUAAACUCAUGUUCGACGUGAAUAGAUUGUCCGUCGUAUCAUGUGAAAGAAUUACUAGUUACUACUAUUGUUGACUAGUGGAUUUUUAUAAGUUUAUGUACAUUUGAAAGUUAAAAGAAACAUAAAUAUAUGUAAUUCAUCGAUGUGAUGCUUUAGAUAUUAUGAUAUCUUGUUUACGAACGAUGAUUUACUCAUUCGAUAAGAUUGCAUAAGAAUUGAUUUUCAUAGUUUUCACAACUUGUGUAUUUUCAUAUUUAUGAGAAAAAAUAUAACUUCAUGUCCGACCCAAUACCCAACCAUAAAAUCCCUUAAUUAUAUGGUAAGCAAGUAUCAUAGAAGUGUAUAGCUUAAGUACGAAACUAACAAACCACAUAAAUUUUUGGGGGAUUUUCCGAAAGAGUCAUCUGGUGUGAAGUAUGAAGUAUAAUAAUUUUGAGAUAAAAUAUAGAAUUAUUUUAUCCUGCGUUUGGUUGGAGGCAUGUUAGGUACAUAGUCCUUGGAUUAUGUAUCCCAUCAUUUAUACCAUAGUGAUGGAAUAUAUAAUUAAUUAUUAUCCCAUAUACAUAAUGAAAUAACGUAUUCCGGAAUAAUAACUCUCGAAACAACUUGUUCCAACCAAACAACCCCUAAAGAAAAAGGCAAAUAAUAUAGGUGUAUUAUUGAGUCAUUUUACAGCUACCACCUAAAGCAACUUGCUACUACAAUUCAUCUCUUGUUAGGUAUAAGAAUUAUUAGAGAGAGAGAGCAGAAGACUCUUCCUUCUUCCUUCAAACCUUCAUCCAUUUUAUUUCAAUAAACUUUUUUCUUAUUUCACCUAUUACGUAAACUUGGAAAUAUAUCUUUGUUGGAAUCCAAAUCUGAGAAAUUGAAGAUUCUUGUUUACUAACUGUAAGUCAUCUUCUUCAUGAAUUACUUUUUUCCCAUAGAUACAGAAUUAGAGAGUUGAUUUCUCAAAUGGUUCACUCAACUAUUAGUUAGUAUCUCAUAAAAUUGAAAAUGAAAGAAAGACGAUUUUUCUGAGAUAAUAAUUAGUUAAGUGACAUUUGACAAUAUGAAAAUGGUACAUAAGAUGUAUAACUUUUCACAAGCAUUAACAUAGCUUCAAACACUAGAUAUAUUGAAAGACAUGAACCUAAUUCCAUGAGUUGGUGAACUUGCAGGAAUUUUUCUGCAGAAAAUGAAUGAAAAUGAAAUUGAGGAAAUGUUAGAUCACCUAAGAAGGAUCAAAAUUGAAGGUAACCUGAGUACCUACAUGAUUUGGGAUAUUCAGGAUCUUGAAAUUGUGCUAAGAGUUUUUAGAACCUUUAUAAAGUAUCAUGUUCUUUUACCUGAUUGUUUAAUCAAACUCACAAAAGAAAGCCAAAAUGGACUGUGGAAACGCUUCAUCGGGUAUUUAAUGGGAUUCCGGAUGAAUGUAAAACUAACCUUAAUCUGAAAAGGCUAGAAUCACAUUUGUUGGAAUUCUUUGAAGGUAACUCCAGUUUAAGUUACAAUUAUGAGUUGAAUGAUUUUGAUCUGUCGAAAUAUAUGGAUUGUCUGGAAAAAAUUCUAAGUGAUGUACUAAUGAUGUUCCUGGAUAAGGAUAGGUCCUGUCAUCUCAAAAAAAAACUUGUAAUACAUCUAUCUAUGAAGAAACUGAAAAUUGUUCAAAAGAAAAUGAGAUUUUUGAGAUAUAUAUAUGCCACAGAGAUAAAUGGUUACGUCAACUAUGAUAAGCUGGAAUGUUUGGAGACUCGAAUUCAAUUUAUGGCUAACAAUGUGGGACAAUAUUGUUUGGCCGUAUUAGACUAUGUUGUUGUUGUUGAAGUUAAUGAUGAAAUUGAUUUCUUUAAUAAACCUCCUUAUCUAUUAUCAUUGCUUGUGUUUUGUGGAGCUGGAAAUGAAGAAGAUUUUUCAUGGUGAACUAAAGGCUUCAAAGUUUACUCAAUCAAAACCAUUCAAGGACAAGAAAUUACCAAAAGAAUUUUCACAUCAUCUCCACAAUCUGUUGAUGUAUCUCAAAAACAAAAACUUGAGAACUUUUCCUAAUAAUAUCUCUGCUCAAAAUAUUGAUGUGGCAAUAGAAUUCUUGUUGGUUUUCCUUGAUGCUGAUGUGUCAAAUCAUGUUAUUAAUGGUAACUGGUUGAAUGAGAUCUUGUUAAAGGUUGGAGCUAUAGCGGGUGAUGUUCUAUAUGUAAUUCAAAAGCUUCUUCCUAGAUCUAUAAACAAAGAUGACAAUAGCAAAAUAAGUCUUUGCUCGAUAGAGAUAUUGGAGAAGUCUAAAGAUUUGAAGGCACAAGUUGAGACGUGCUACAAAUCCUUAAAAUUUACUCCAUCUCAGUUCCCCACCUUUGGUGGAUUGAGCUUUCUGGAUUCUCUUUUAAGAAAAUUGCAUGAUAUGUUAUGUCGAAAUCUAAGUCUGGUUUAGAUUUCCUGAUGAAAC